AACGAACGCUGGCGGCAUGCCUAACACAUGCAAGUCGAGCGGGGGAAGGUAGCUUGCUACCGGACCUAGCGGCGGACGGGUGAGUAAUGCUUAGGAAUCUGCCUAUUAGUGGGGGACAACAUCUCGAAAGGGAUGCUAAUACCGCAUACGUCCUACGGGAGAAAGCAGGGGAUAUUCGGACCUUGCGCUAAUAGACGAGCCGAAGUCGGAUUAGCUAGUUGGUGGGGUAAAGGCCUACCAAGGCGACGAUCUGUAGCGGGUCUGAGAGGAUGAUCCGCCACACUGGGACUGAGACACGGCCCAGACUCCUACGGGAGGCAGCAGUGGGGAAUAUUGGACAAUGGGGGGAACCCUGAUCCAGCCAUGCCGCGUGUGUGAAGAAGGCCUUAUGGUUGUAAAGCACUUUAAGCGAGGAGGAGGCUACUCUAGUUAAUACCUAGGGAUAGUGGACGUUACUCGCAGAAUAAGCACCGGCUAACUCUGUGCCAGCCGCCGCGGUAA
RNAcentral lists this ribosomal RNA (501 nucleotides) under uncultured bacterium. RNAcentral describes it as "partial 16S ribosomal RNA". It matches the Rfam family "Bacterial small subunit ribosomal RNA", at positions 29 to 523 of the family's 1533-position model. The record is from RNAcentral.